GACGAACGCUGGCGGCGUGCCUAAUACAUGCAAGUUGAGCGAUGAAGAUUGGUGCUUGCACCAAUUUGAAGAGCAGCGAACGGGUGAGUAACGCGUGGGGAAUCUGCCUUUGAGCGGGGGACAACAUUUGGAAACGAAUGCUAAUACCGCAUAACAACUUUAAACAUAAGUUUUAAGUUUGAAAGAUGCAAUUGCAUCACUCAAAGAUGAUCCCGCGUUGUAUUAGCUAGUUGGUGAGGUAAAGGCUCACCAAGGCGAUGAUACAUAGCCGACCUGAGAGGGUGAUCGGCCACAUUGGGACUGAGACACGGCCCAAACUCCUACGGGAGGCAGCAGGAGGGAAUCUUCGGCAAUGGACGAAAGUCUGACCGAGCAACGCCGCGUGAGUGAAGAAGGGUUUCGGAUCGUAAAACUCUGUUGGUAGAGAAGAACGUUGGUGAGAGUGGAAAGCUCAUCAAGUGACGGUAACUACCCAGAAAGGGACGGCUAACUACGUG
This 497-nucleotide ribosomal RNA is filed under the name uncultured bacterium. RNAcentral describes it as "partial 16S ribosomal RNA". It matches the Rfam family "Bacterial small subunit ribosomal RNA", at positions 28 to 507 of the family's 1533-position model. The record is from RNAcentral.